RNAcentral lists this ribosomal RNA (440 nucleotides) under uncultured bacterium. RNAcentral's name for it is "partial 16S ribosomal RNA". It matches the Rfam family "Bacterial small subunit ribosomal RNA", at positions 338 to 795 of the family's 1533-position model. The record is from RNAcentral.
CCUACGGGGGGCAGCAGUAGGGAAUAUUGCUCAAUGGGGGAAACCCUGAAGCAGCAACGCCGCGUGGAGGAUGAAGGUUUUCGGAUUGUAAACUCCUUUUGUUAGAGAAGAUAAUGACGGUAUCUAACGAAUAAGCACCGGCUAACUCCGUGCCAGCAGCCGCGGUCAUACGGAGGGUGCAAGCGUUACUCGGAAUCACUGGGCGUAAAGGGCGCGUAGGCGGGAUAGUAAGUCAGAUGUGAAAUGCUAUGGCUUAACCAUAGAACUGCAUUAGAAACUGUUAUUCUAGAGUAAGGGAGAGGUAGGUGGAAUUCGUGGUGUAGGGGUAAAAUGCGUAGAGAUCAAGAGGAAUACUCAUUGCGAAGGCGACCUGCUAGAACAUAACUGACGCUGAUGCGCGAAAGCGUGGGGAGCAAACAGGAUUAGAUACCCGUGUAGUC